Molecule: ribosomal RNA, 461 nt
Filed under: uncultured bacterium
Lineage: Bacteria
Description: bacterial SSU rRNA
Rfam family: Bacterial small subunit ribosomal RNA
Source: RNAcentral
AACGAACGCUGGCGGCAUGCCUAACACAUGCAAGUCGAACGAGACCUUCGGGUCUAGUGGCGCACGGGUGCGUAACGCGUGGGAAUCUGCCCUUGGGUUCGGAAUAACUUCGGGAAACUGAAGCUAAUACCGGAUGAUGACGUAAGUCCAAAGAUUUAUCGCCCAAGGAUGAGCCCGCGUAGGAUUAGCUAGUUGGUGAGGUAAAGGCUCACCAAGGCGACGAUCCUUAGCUGGUCUGAGAGGAUGAUCAGCCACACUGGGACUGAGACACGGCCCAGACUCCUACGGGAGGCAGCAGUGGGGAAUAUUGGACAAUGGGCGAAAGCCUGAUCCAGCAAUGCCGCGUGAGUGAUGAAGGCCUUAGGGUUGUAAAGCUCUUUUACCAGGGAUGAUAAUGACAGUACCUGGAGAAUAAGCUCCGGCUAACUCCGUGCCAGCAGCCGUCGGUAAAGUGACUACUG